Molecule: non-coding RNA, 31 nt
Filed under: Mus musculus (house mouse)
Lineage: Eukaryota; Metazoa; Chordata; Mammalia; Rodentia; Muridae
Source: RNAcentral
UGAGCUUUUGAAGUUAGCACAUUCUGUUUUC